This 598-nucleotide ribosomal RNA is filed under the name Salmonella enterica. RNAcentral describes it as "partial 23S ribosomal RNA". It matches the Rfam family "Bacterial large subunit ribosomal RNA", at positions 711 to 1241 of the family's 2925-position model. Lineage: Bacteria; Pseudomonadati; Pseudomonadota; Gammaproteobacteria; Enterobacterales; Enterobacteriaceae. RNAcentral also lists the same sequence under 3 other names. The record is from RNAcentral.
AGACCCGAAACCCGGUGAUCUAGCCAUGGGCAGGUUGAAGGUUGGGUAACACUAACUGGAGGACCGAACCGACUAAUGUUGAAAAAUUAGCGGAUGACCUGUGGCUGGGGGUGAAAGGCCAAUCAAACCGGGAGAUAGCUGGUUCUCCCCGAAAGCUAUUUAGGUAGCGCCUCGUGAAUUCAUCUCCGGGGGUAGAGCACUGUUUCGGCUAGGGGGCCAUCCCGGCUUACCAACCCGAUGCAAACUGCGAAUACCGGAGAAUGUUAUCACGGGAGACACACGGCGGGUGCUAACGUCCGUCGUGAAGAGGGAAACAACCCAGACCGCCAGCUAAGGUCCCAAAGUCAUGGUUAAGUGGGAAACGAUGUGGGAAGGCCCAGACAGCCAGGAUGUUGGCUUAGAAGCAGCCAUCAUUUAAAGAAAGCGUAAUAGCUCACUGGUCGAGUCGGCCUGCGCGGAAGAUGUAACGGGGCUAAACCAUGCACCGAAGCUGCGGCAGCGAACGUAUCACCCAAGACAACUUUACGGAGUUGACGAUUGACGGAGCGAAGCGACGUCAAAGCGUUCAUUAAAGUCGAGUUGGCUUAGGGAUACGUUC